UGAGGAACAUGACCUUCGGCGGGGGAUAGCCGGCCCAACGGCCGGGUAAUACCGCGUACGACCACAUGGGGACAUCCCUGAGUGGUGAAAGCAGCAAUGCGCCGAUGGAGUGCCUCGCGGCCUAUCAGCUAGUUGGUGAGGUAACGGCUCACCAAGGCAACGAUCCGUAGCUGGUCUGAGAGGAUGAUCAGCCACACUGGGACUGAGACACGGCCCAGACCUCCG
RNAcentral lists this ribosomal RNA (225 nucleotides) under uncultured bacterium. RNAcentral describes it as "partial 16S ribosomal RNA". It matches the Rfam family "Bacterial small subunit ribosomal RNA", at positions 118 to 341 of the family's 1533-position model. The record is from RNAcentral.